Molecule: long non-coding RNA, 2303 nt
Organism: Cygnus atratus (black swan)
Lineage: Eukaryota; Metazoa; Chordata; Aves; Anseriformes; Anatidae
Exons: 3
Source: RefSeq, a predicted model, not a curated record
AAAGCAGCAAUAGACUUGCAUAUUAACUUGACCUCCUCUAGAUACUUAAAAGCAGCAGCUGGACUGAGGAACCUAGAUCUCUCAAGUUAUUCAUCUAAGUAGGAAAUAUGUAAUAAAUAAUUUAAAAAAGAAAAGAAAAAAGGCCCUGUCCCUGUUGUUUUUUGUUGUUGUUGUUGUUUUGUUAUUGUUUGGUUGUUCUUAUUUUUUUUUAAUAGAUUUUUGAUAGUGCAAAUUAUUUUAGGCAACAAAGCAGAAGAAAUAGUGUUUUCCACAGAAUUCUCAGCUUUUGGGAAUUCGCCCAGAUACUGCAUUUUGCACUAGCUAAGCGUUCUGGGUGUCACUGUCCUUUGAGCAAAGGAAUUGCAAUUUAUUUGUUAAGACAGUAGAAAAAGGUUUCUGUUUCAUUAUUUUAAACAUAAUUUCAGUCAGUCAGUCAAACUUGUUUUAAUAUAUUGUUACCUAUAGCUGACUGAUAUGUAACUGUUUAAACAUUGUAAAACACAGGAAUUAUUCCUCAACCUCUGAGAAUGGUCUUGCUAUAGAAGUCUGGAAUAAGUCUCUGCUGUCUGUCUGAUGAUGACGGUUGGUCGAUCUCAGUGUAGGCUGCUGCUGAAAGAGGUGGUCUUGACCUCCCUUUUGCAGAGGUGCCUUCUUGCUCCUUCCUGUGCUAAGACUAGUGCUCAAGUGGCUAUCCAGAAGGUCGGAGAUGGGAACUGACCAGUUGUAAACUAAACAUUUUGUUCUUCUGGAUUAUAUCUCAACUGUAUCAGAUUCUUGAUCCAUCCCUUUUGCAGUUACUGAUUCCUGCACAGGGACUGAGGCAGUAACAUGCAGCUGGGGAAAGGUGGGACUGCUGCUUUUGAUGGUUGCUACAUUCAGAUUGCUUUAAGACAAUUGUGAAAUCUACCUUAAGACUGCUUUCAUCAGGUGAUGUCAAAUGUGAGGAACUGGAACGUAAAUAGCAAAUAUUUGGCAACAGUCAGAACUGAAUAUGUUCUUGGGGCAGAGGGUGUGUGACCUUUGUUCAUUCUCUAAUUUUUGUUACAGGGGAAGAUAUUGCUCUAUGUACAUUAUGGUGCUAGGUUUGCUACAGUUGUGAUUGUGCAUUUAUUAUAUAAAAUCAAACAAAUUUUGAAAAUACAGCACUGCUUAUAUUAAAAACUGAUGUAGUUAAAUUCUCUUGUGUAGACCAUAUAAUAAAGCACAGUAGGUUAAAUGUUUCACCUCUUAUUUCACUGCUCAGUAUUCAUUAGAACUUAGUGUCAUAACUCUGGAAGAUAGGGUAUCUGGGCUGCAUGAAGCAUGGGUGGGAAUCUUACAAAGUACUCUUAUUCUGUUUUAUCAUUAGUUUUGACUUUCUCAGAAGAAUAUGAAAUACCAUAUGUUGAGCUGCUUGAGAAAUCAGUUUCGAUUGUGCUGUUUAUAGUGCAUGUAAAAUGGUAUGGAUCAAAGAUGGCAACAGAAGCGGACAGCUGUUAAUCGUAUCAAGCAUUGUACUCAGAGAUCUGAAGUCUUUAUAAUGCCAGCCAGACUACACAGAAGUGUAUUACUCAAUGGAAUUUGUGCAUACUAUCUUCUGUUAUUUCAAAUCUGGUUUUGAUUCUGCUGGAACAAGCUGGUACAGUCUAGGACUAUCUUACAGAUUACUGAAGUUGGACUAAACAGAAAUGAAGAAAAGAUUUCGAAGAAAAGAUUUCUGUGAAAUCUGUGUAAACUCUUCUCUAAGUGAUUAAAGAUCGUGUAGUUUUGAAUGCAUAUUUGUUGAGGAUGGUCCAGUUGUCUCGACUGGUGAAGUUUGAUGUUGGUUUGAGACAUACUUGGUUAGACUGGUCUGCAGGUGUAGAAAGAGCCAUGUUUUUACCUCUUACUUUACCCCUGUGCAUCACGUAUAGUCUGCCCUUCAUAAGUGAAAGAAGCAAUCAGGGUAUCAAUAAAUGUUCACAAAUCAUAGAACCAUAGCAUAGUUUGGGUUGGAAGGGAUCUUAAAGAUCACCCAGUUCCAACCCCCCUGUCGUGGACAGGGACACCUCCCACUACACCAGGUUGCCCAAAGCCCCAUCCAGCCUGGCCUUGAACACCUCCAGGGAUGGGGCAUCCACAGCUGCUCUGGGCAACAUGUGCCAGUGCCUCACCGCCCUCUGAGGGAAGAAUUUCUUCCUUAUAUCUACUCUAAAUCUCCCCUUUUUACAUUUUAAAACCAUUCCCCCUUGUCCUAUCACUGCACCCCCUGACAGAGUCCCUCCCCAGCUUUCCUUUAGGCCCCCUUUGGGUACUGGAAGGCUGCUAUAAGGUCUCCUUGGAGC